RNAcentral lists this ribosomal RNA (301 nucleotides) under uncultured bacterium. RNAcentral describes it as "partial 16S ribosomal RNA". It matches the Rfam family "Bacterial small subunit ribosomal RNA", at positions 509 to 807 of the family's 1533-position model. The record is from RNAcentral.
CAGUAGCCACGGGAAUACGUAGGGUGCGAGCGUUGUCCGGAAUUAUUGGGCGUAAAGAGCUUGUAGGCGGUCUGUCGCGUCUGCUGUGAAAACCCGAGGCUCAACCUCGGGCCUGCAGUGGGUACGGGCAGACUAGAGUGCGGUAGGGGAGAACGGAACUCCUGGUGUAGCGGUGGAAUGCGCAGAUAUCAGGAAGAACACCGAUGGCGAAGGCAGUUCUCUGGGCCGUAACUGACGCUGAGAAGCGAAAGCGUGGGGAGCGAACAGGAUUAGAUACCCCUGUAGUCCCUGUCUCUUAUAC